GGCCUUCAUUUCAGAGUCAGUUUGGAUUCCUUGCAUAACACCCUAAAAAUUCACUGCAAUUGGCUUCAGCAAGCGGGGUUGGGGUGCAUUUUGCAGCCAAUGAAGAUCUGCUGGGUGGCACCAGGAGAUGCAAUUAAAUACUAGCUAACCUACACCUGGCUGCAUCACGGGAAAGGACCAAUUCUUGCCGGCUCCAUCCUCCUUCCCAACAUCACUUUCACUUCCAUUAGCCCACCAGCCUGGACCAGUAUUAGGCUUAUGGGAAUCUCCUCCAUCAGCCAUCAGCAUUAUCAAAGUUGAAUUCUUUAAGAGAGCCAAGAGUUAUGGAUCGAUGCUUCUGAUGUCGUGGUGCCUUCUCCUCAUCUGUUGAAGUCAUCUCUGGUGUGUCAUUAGAUGUUUCACCAACACCGGACUCAAAAUUAUUCAUUAUUUCAGUAUAGUUUACUUCUUUUGCAGCUGUUGUUCCAUUUUCGAUAAAGACUGGCACGACUUUUACAGGGCAUGAUGGCUUCUCUUCUACACAUCUCAAGACAUCUUCAGCAGUUAAUUCAAAAGAGACUCUACGGUCAGUAAUUUCAUCAUUCUGGUUUCUAUUGUUCGAAUGUGAUUGUGAUACAAAAUCAGAAAAUUGAUGAUCCUGAGGAAAGGUGCAAGAUGCAGGCCUUGCAGCAUCUGGGGUCAAAGUUCC
Molecule: unclassified non-coding RNA, 688 nt
Filed under: Hevea brasiliensis (rubber tree)
Lineage: Eukaryota; Viridiplantae; Streptophyta; Magnoliopsida; Malpighiales; Euphorbiaceae
Source: RNAcentral